GGCCCCGUAACUCAGUCUGGAUAGAGUGCUAGCCUUCUAAGCUAGAAGUCGCAGGUUCAAAUCCUGCCGGGGCCG
RNAcentral lists this transfer RNA (75 nucleotides) under archaeon. Its description in RNAcentral is "tRNA-Arg". It matches the Rfam family "tRNA". From Rfam's summary of the family: Transfer RNA (tRNA) molecules are approximately 80 nucleotides in length. The record is from RNAcentral.